RNAcentral lists this unclassified non-coding RNA (640 nucleotides) under Hevea brasiliensis (rubber tree). Lineage: Eukaryota; Viridiplantae; Streptophyta; Magnoliopsida; Malpighiales; Euphorbiaceae. The record is from RNAcentral.
GGAAUUUAUAGCAUCAAAGCACAUAUCGAGCGAUUCUCCAUAAACGUACCCCUUCUUCAAUUUCGGACCUACCAACCUAACAACUUCAUCCCUAACUUUACUGUACGCCUCCUCAACCAAAAACGUGUAUUGAGUGCCUGAAUCAAUCAUCGUCUGUCCUGAACCACCAGCGUCCGGACGGAAAACCUUUUCGGAGAUAUUCAACCUUUUCCCGCCCAUUUUUAUCCCUACCAUACCAAGAGUGUAAGCUAGAGGGUCCAUAUUAGGCAUGCUUUGACUUUGAGGAAAAGUCAAAAGAUUUAUGUAUUGGAACCUAUGUGAAUUAGGAUUUUGACCUAGGUAAAAUGUUCCACUUGGCAUUAUUUUAUUACCUUGCUUAUGUGGCACACAAUAAGAGAAUUUUUGCACCUUAGCUUGUGAGACAAAUGAGUACCUCCCAAGAUUCAUUCCCAAAAUACCCUCCGCAUCGCGCGAUUCGGUCGCGCAACCUAGGAUCAAAGGAGGGGUAGUUUGGGAAUUUGGAAAUGUAAUUUUUUCUCUUACGAGAUUACCCUCAGCUAAAGUACCAUCAGCGUAGAAGUAAGAGUAGUGACAAAGACGAUUUUGGUCACAUGAUGUUGGAAGGGUAAAAUCGGGAAUU